RNAcentral lists this long non-coding RNA (1432 nucleotides) under Homo sapiens (human). RNAcentral's name for it is "HSALNT0322415". Lineage: Eukaryota; Metazoa; Chordata; Mammalia; Primates; Hominidae. The record is from RNAcentral.
UGAAACUUCCAUCCAGUGGGUAUUGUCCUACUUUUAAAUUGGUUCAAAAUAGGAUCAUCAAGGUAUCUAGAUAUCCAUGGCAAAGAAUCAGCUCUUUUCUAAUCAAUGAGUUUUGCUGGUGGUUAAGUAUAUAUUUCAAUGGUCCGUGUAAAGGAAACAACAGUAGACAAAGAAAAUUGUAUUUCUCGGCUGACUGUAUUGUCUUUCCUGAGGACCCUCAUCAUAACAACUUUUUCUCUGGUGACAGAUUUCCAAUGAAUCACCCUGAAGUAGUACCUGCAAUGACGUUGCACACACUAUUCUCUGCAAUCAGCUGUGCGAAGACAGCUGUCACUCCUCUUCGUCACUAAAGGGAAUCCCAGUCUGAUGGCAGCAGUCCCAUGGUAAGAUCUGGUCUGCAGAGAAGAACCAUCACAGAACUCUCCAAGAAUAUAUUUAUCAAAGCCAUGUGGAAGAGAGUAUCCUCUGGACCAUCCCAGGAUGAUUCCUGGCCACAGCAAAGAGGAAGCUUGGGUUUGCAUGUCCAGGACCUCCACCCUAAGUAUUCAGGCACUCUUUUUGACAUCAUUGCUGUUGUUACUUAGGUGUAUCUCCUUGGUUGUGUUUCUCCAUUCUGCUAUAAAAACUGAGAAAACACAGAGACUAAUCAGUCAUUGAAUAUUAUGGAUGAGUCUUUGAAAAGGCAUUUUGCCCCGUCUUCUGCCCCUCAAGUAAGUGUUUAGCUGUAUCAUUCCAAACACAUGAGAAUCUAUUUGGCUCCAGAACUGCAGGGAAAUAAGGUACAGUCUUCCUCAGUAAACCCUGCCACUGAUAAUAUUAUCAUGUAUGAAAUUAUGAAUGAAUUUAUUGACUAAUUGACAAUAUGUCAGUUGGAGAAUUUAAUCUUGAGUGUACCGUUUUCACAAUGCAGCAAACUUUGAAGUUACUAUCAAAAGCCAGAUGUCUUUAAGGUAUGUUAAAAAUUCAGUCAAAACUUUAAAAAUUUAAUAGGAAUAAUACAAGCCUUGCUCUGUAGAUUGUUUGAAGGUUGCUAUUGCAACGCUUGAAAAUCAAAUAUAAUGUAGAAAAAUUAAAGUCUGGUUAAGGUCCGUUAAUUAUAAUGCAAUGCUUCAGCCAAACAACAGCUUGGCUUUAAAUCAAUACCCAAUUAAAUAGUUCCUGCAGUUCUAGUCAUUAAUUGCUCUGUAGCUUAAAAAAUAACAUUCUAACUACUUAUAGAAAGAUAAUCAAAAUUGGCAUGUGAAACUUCAAUUUGGUUCUUCUGAUUAUCUUUCAAGAAGGAAAAUUAGCUUUUUCAGUGACCUAUGGUCCAUACAUUUCAAGUCCACUCAAACCUGUUGAAAAUGGAAUAAAAUCACAACUAAUAAGUGUUUGGUUAUAGGAUAAUAAUAUGUCUGGAAUUGGUGGGUUCUUGGUUUCACUGACUUCAAGA